GUAGUGGCGAACGAAAAGGGAGAAGCCCAGCGCAUAACCUCUCGGGCCACCCGGCCUGCAGCGGAAUUUUGCGUAAAGGGAACGAUCAUGCACUCGUGCUCACGCACGGGUGUCUGCCCAAUGGCACAUAGCAUUCGACCUAAGUCCAGGGGUGAAACUCUGCCGAGUGACUAGUUUGCUCUACUUCUCCAUGGAGGGUGAAAGACCCGUGUGGCGAAUGCAUAGUGUCUGGGUUUGAUUGUUUUCCCUGAGAGUCGCGUUGCUUGAGCAUGCAGCGCAAAGCAGGACGUAGACUCGUCCUAAGGCUAAAUAUUUCCACAGAACCGAUAGCGAACAAGUACCGUGAGGGAAAGUUGAAAAGGACUCUGAAGAGAGAGUUAAAAGACCGUGAAACCGUACAGGGCAGAGACUGAUGGAUUUGGCUUUCCGGUGGCAAUGAGAGGGAUGUGUGUACUACUUUGUGGUACCGUCCCUCUCUGUGUGAGGUUGGCUUAUAUGGAAGACAGUGGAAAUGUGUUCAGUGAAACGACAGUUUUGCAAAGCUGUGUGACGGUUGUAACACAGCAAUGAGCCACAAACGCACGGGGUUUUGGUG
This 595-nucleotide ribosomal RNA is filed under the name Paracalliope fluviatilis. Its description in RNAcentral is "partial large subunit ribosomal RNA". It matches the Rfam family "Eukaryotic large subunit ribosomal RNA", at positions 83 to 607 of the family's 3401-position model. Lineage: Eukaryota; Metazoa; Arthropoda; Malacostraca; Amphipoda; Paracalliopiidae. The record is from RNAcentral.